Musa acuminata AAA Group (dessert banana) is the source of this 838-nucleotide long non-coding RNA. RefSeq lists it as uncharacterized. NCBI's taxonomy places the organism in Eukaryota, Viridiplantae, Streptophyta, Magnoliopsida, Zingiberales, Musaceae. The record is from RefSeq and is a predicted model, not a curated record. The transcript has 3 exons.
UUUUUUUUUAUUGAUUCUCACGAUUACAAAAUGCAGGAUCUCCAGGAUUAGUAAUGGUCAUUGCGAACUUUAGAAAUCGAAGAACGAAGGGAAUGACUGGCUGACUCAUGGACUUGCUUUUCUGAAAUGAAGAAUCGACAAGGCACAAUACUGUUGUCUGAGGAGGUAAAAUGUCACAAGCGUAGCAGGAGGCAACCAACAGAAGGAUGGAUCUUUGCUCUUGAGAAGUUGGGCUCCUGCAAUCUUCCUCACAAAUCAUCCCAUUAUCGGAAUGACACGGAGAAGAUGCAUCUGAAUCCCAUCUUUUCGCAUUCCAUUGCGAAAUAAUGUUUGAUCAUCAUCAGGAGGAAAUAUUGGUUUCACUCUGCUGCACUGCUUGCAAAUUUUGAUCAUGCACCAAGCAUAAUGAACGGAUAAAAAAGAUGGUGGCCUCAAAACUUGCUUUCUGUCAGCAAUCAGUUCAUGUGAUCUUCCCAGGGGUCGUGUACUGCAUGCAGCCCCAUCACCCUUUUCUAUCCCAACACACAAGGUGGGUGGGCGCACUUCCUUGUCUCCGUCGCCGUCUCAUCUCAUCUGCCGCUUUGUGACUUGCAAGCAAAUGCCACAAUCGAAGCUUAAGAUUACAUUAACUCAUCGAACAAGGUGUUUGCUGUUCUAAGGUCAAUGCACUGAAGAAGUACAGGUCAACAUACUUCCAUCUGUUCUUUAAGUGAUACAAUUGGGAUUCUUCUUCUGAUCACACAACUCAUCUUUGAAGGUGAUCAAUCAACUGCUAUAAUACUCGCAUGCAUCAUGCUAACAUCGAUGUGAAUCAAACAAUCUACACUGUGUUAUCAAA